This 45-nucleotide non-coding RNA is filed under the name Schistosoma mattheei. The record is from RNAcentral. Lineage: Eukaryota; Metazoa; Platyhelminthes; Trematoda; Strigeidida; Schistosomatidae.
AUCCAGUUGACGAGUCUCAAAUAGGACGAAACGCGCAUCGUGAAU